Molecule: ribosomal RNA, 233 nt
Filed under: uncultured Glomus
Lineage: Eukaryota; Fungi; Glomeromycota; Glomeromycetes; Glomerales; Glomeraceae
Description: partial 18S ribosomal RNA
Rfam family: Eukaryotic small subunit ribosomal RNA
Source: RNAcentral
AGCAGCCGCGGUAAUUCCAGCUCCAAUAGCGUAUAUUAAAGUUGUUGCAGUUAAAAAGCUUGUAGUUGAAUUUCGGGAUCAAUAUAUUGGUCGUGCCUCCGGUAUGCACUGGUAUUAUUGAUUUCUACCCUCUGACAAACCAUGAUGUCAUUAAUUUGGUGUCAUGGGGAAUCAGGACUGUUACUUUGAAAAAAUUAGAGUGUUUAAAGCAGGCACACGCUUGAAUACAUUAG